RNAcentral lists this long non-coding RNA (1625 nucleotides) under Gallus gallus (chicken). RNAcentral describes it as "long non-coding RNA NONGGAT003615". Lineage: Eukaryota; Metazoa; Chordata; Aves; Galliformes; Phasianidae. The record is from RNAcentral.
GAACCCCUCAAUCUGCCCCUUCUGACCCACCCAGAACCCCUCAAUCUGCUCCUUCUGCCCCACACAGAACCCCUCAGUCUGCCUCUUCUACCGCACCCAGAACCCCUCAAUCUGCCUCUCCUGCCCCACCCAAGAUCUCUCAAUCUGCCCCUUCUGACCCACACAGAACCCCUCAAUCUGCCCCUUCCAACCCACCCAGAACCCCUCAAUCUGCCCCUUCUGCCCCAUCUGACCCACGCAGAGCACCCCACUGCCCCACGCUGUUUGGGACAGGAGCUGAGGGACGCGGGGAGGAGCCCACGUUGUUCUGCUCCACACACCCAGGCUGUGUUCCCAGCAGUUGGAAAUUUCUGAUAGCACCUUUUGGGAUAAUUUCACGUUAUAGGGGUUGGACUUGAUCUCUUGAGGUCAAUUCUACUCCCUGCAAUUCUGUGAUGCUCUGUGUUGGAAGUCACUUUGUCUCUGCGUGGCUCUUGGUUGUUUUUUUCCUGCUCAGGAAAGAGAGGUGGUGGAGAGCCCUUUACCCUGUCAUAUUUGCUCGUCCAUCUCAAGGACAGCUGACAGCGAAGCAUCAGGUCUGCACUCCUUGUGUUUGCUCUCAGAUGCUGGCACAGACCAUGAGGCUCUCCUUGCACAGUUUGGAUACCUGAACCAUCAGAAUCCUGGCGGGUGAAAUUCAUUGCUUGGGGAUUUUGAUCAGAGCAGUGAGUGCGAGAUAUAAACUACUGUGGCUGUGCAUUCUGUGGAGUGAAAAGCAGAGAAAGAAGUCACUCAAGUUAAAGCCUAGAACCAGAACGAAAGCACUAUCUUAUGAUGUGGGCAAUUGUCUGAAAUAUGUCAUGUAGGUGACCCAGUCCCACACCCAGCAGUAAUCGCCAAAUUCCAGGUCAGUAUUGGUUUUGAAUGACUUAAGUUGCAACCAAGAAUGAAGUUGCUUUAUCCCGGUGUUCUUCACCCAGGUCUCAGCAAGCACCCAUGCUGCAGCAUCCUUUGAGCAGUUGUAGCUCAUGCAGCUGUCAGAAAAUGUACUUCAGAUGCCAGUGUAGUUGUUUCAAAGAAGAACAUGUGAGCUGAAGCCAGGUGACGUUUACAUUAAAGUAGCUUGGUGAGUAGCUACCAGCCCAUAUGUGCUUCCAUUUCAGACUUGUCUUCACAUUUUAAUUCUUCUCAGCUUUGCUUUUACACACCAAAGCCACAGUAUCACACUGUUAUGAUUACUAAUAUCUUUUUCAUGUCAAGAACCCAGUCCUUCUCUACCAAAACCGAGUACCCUCACCCCCAUUGCUUCCUCCAUCACUUCCAGGGCAGCUCUGGCAUCUCACAGCAAGGCAGCAUUGUUCCGCUCUCACUGCUUACAGACAGGGAUUGCAAGUUGGUGCAGCUCUCAGGGCUGUGCAGGCAGAUCUGUGCACACACAGAUCAUUCAGGCAAUUAAAGUCAGUAACUGGAGAAGCUGGUGGAGCCCGUCAGCCAUCUGCUUUGUCGGAGGAGGAGGGCCUACAGUGAAGCCCUGCUGGAAGCUCUGUUAGUUAUGUAAAGCAGUAAACCGAAAUAAGAUUGGUGAAUGGGGAGCACUGUAAGGUGAGGCACAGUUUGGGCCAAAUCACUCCAUCUCCUCCGUACAA